GAUGAACGCUGGCGGCGUGCCUAAUACAUGCAAGUCGAGCGAACGGACGAGAAGCUUGCUUUUCUGAUGUUAGCGGCGGACGGGUGAGUAACACGUGGAUAACCUACCUAUAAGACUGGGAUAACUUCGGGAAACCGGAGCUAAUACCGGAUAAUAUUUUGAACCGCAUGGUUCAAAAGUGAAAGACGGUCUUGCUGUCACUUAUAGAUGGAUCCGCGCUGCAUUAGCUAGUUGGUAAGGUAACGGCUUACCAAGGCAACGAUGCAUAGCCGACUUGAGAGGGUGAUCGGCCACACUGGAACUGAGACGCGGUCCAGACUCCUACGGGAGGCAGCAGUAGGGAAUCUUCCGCAAUGGGCGAAAGCCUGACGGAGCAACGCCGCGUGAGUGAUGAAGGUCUUCGGAUCGUAAAACUCUGUUAUUAGGGAAGAACAUAUGUGUAAGUAACUGUGCACAUCUUGACGGUACCUAAUCAGAAAGCCACGGCUAACUACGUG
Molecule: ribosomal RNA, 497 nt
Filed under: uncultured bacterium
Lineage: Bacteria
Description: partial 16S ribosomal RNA
Rfam family: Bacterial small subunit ribosomal RNA
Source: RNAcentral